Non-coding RNA from Microcebus murinus (gray mouse lemur), 866 nucleotides. The record is from RefSeq and is a predicted model, not a curated record. NCBI's taxonomy places the organism in Eukaryota, Metazoa, Chordata, Mammalia, Primates, Cheirogaleidae.
GUGCUUAGCACAGCCAUGGCCCGCGGUCCCAAGAAGCAUCUGAAGCGUGUAGCAGCUCCAAAGCAUUGGAUGCUGGAUAAGCUGACCGGUGUGUUUGCUCCUCGUCCAUCCACCGGUCCCCACAAGCUGAGAGAGUGUCUCCCACUCAUCAUUUUCCUAAGAAACAGGCUUAAGUAUGCCCUCACAGGAGAUGAAGUGAAGAAGAUCUGCAUGCAGCACUUCAUUAAAAUUGAUGGCAAGGUCCGAACUGAUAUAACCUACCCUGCUGGAUUUAUGGAUGUCAUCAGCAUUGACAAGACUGGAGAGAAUUUCCGUCUGAUUUAUGACACCAAGGGUCGCUUUGUUGUUCAUUGUAUCACACCUGAGGAGGCCAAGUACAAGUUGUGCAAAGUGAGAAAAAUCUUUGUGGGCACAAAAGGAAUCCCUCAUCUGGUGACUCAUGAUGCUCGUACCAUCCGCUAUCCUGAUCCACUCAUCAAAGUGAAUGACACCAUUCAGAUUGAUUUGGAGACUGGCAAGAUUACUGAUUUCAUCAAGUUUGACACUGGUAACCUGUGUAUGGUGACUGGAGGUGCUAACCUGGGAAGAAUUGGUGUGAUCACAACAGAGAAAGACAUCCCGGGUCUUUUGAUGUGGUUCACGUGAAAGAUGCCAAUGGCAACAGCUUUGCCACUCACCUCUCCAACAUUUUCGUUAUUGGCAAAGGCAACAAACCAUGGAUUUCUCUUCCUCGAGGAAAAGGUAUCCGCCUCACCAUUGCUGAAGAGAGGGAUAAGAGACUGGCAGCCAAACAGAGCAGUGGGUGAAAUGGUCUCCAUGUAACAUAAUAACAUGUUAAAAAGUUAUUUGUACUUAAUUAAAGAUAU